This 1197-nucleotide ribosomal RNA is filed under the name Lactobacillus delbrueckii subsp. bulgaricus. RNAcentral describes it as "bacterial SSU rRNA". It matches the Rfam family "Bacterial small subunit ribosomal RNA", at positions 353 to 1533 of the family's 1533-position model. Lineage: Bacteria; Bacillati; Bacillota; Bacilli; Lactobacillales; Lactobacillaceae. The record is from RNAcentral.
AGUAGGGAAUCUUCCACAAUGGACGCAAGUCUGAUGGAGCAACGCCGCGUGAGUGAAGAAGGUUUUCGGAUCGUAAAGCUCUGUUGUUGGUGAAGAAGGAUAGAGGCAGUAACUGGUCUUUAUUUGACGGUAAUCAACCAGAAAGUCACGGCUAACUACGUGCCAGCAGCCGCGGUAAUACGUAGGUGGCAAGCGUUGUCCGGAUUUAUUGGGCGUAAAGCGAGCGCAGGCGGAAUGAUAAGUCUGAUGUGAAAGCCCACGGCUCAACCGUGGAACUGCAUCGGAAACUGUCAUUCUUGAGUGCAGAAGAGGAGAGUGGAAUUCCAUGUGUAGCGGUGGAAUGCGUAGAUAUAUGGAAGAACACCAGUGGCGAAGGCGGCUCUCUGGUCUGCAACUGACGCUGAGGCUCGAAAGCAUGGGUAGCGAACAGGAUUAGAUACCCUGGUAGUCCAUGCCGUAAACGAUGAGCGCUAGGUGUUGGGGACUUUCCGGUCCUCAGUGCCGCAGCAAACGCAUUAAGCGCUCCGCCUGGGGAGUACGACCGCAAGGUUGAAACUCAAAGGAAUUGACGGGGGCCCGCACAAGCGGUGGAGCAUGUGGUUUAAUUCGAAGCAACGCGAAGAACCUUACCAGGUCUUGACAUCCUGUGCUACACCUAGAGAUAGGUGGUUCCCUUCGGGGACGCAGAGACAGGUGGUGCAUGGCUGUCGUCAGCUCGUGUCGUGAGAUGUUGGGUUAAGUCCCGCAACGAGCGCAACCCUUGUCUUUAGUUGCCAUCAUUAAGUUGGGCACUCUAAAGAGACUGCCGGUGACAAACCGGAGGAAGGUGGGGAUGACGUCAAGUCAUCAUGCCCCUUAUGACCUGGGCUACACACGUGCUACAAUGGGCAGUACAACGAGAAGCGAACCCGCGAGGGUAAGCGGAUCUCUUAAAGCUGUUCUCAGUUCGGACUGCAGGCUGCAACUCGCCUGCACGAAGCUGGAAUCGCUAGUAAUCGCGGAUCAGCACGCCGCGGUGAAUACGUUCCCGGGCCUUGUACACACCGCCCGUCACACCAUGGAAGUCUGCAAUGCCCAAAGUCGGUGGGAUAACCUUUAUAGGAGUCAGCCGCCUAAGGCAGGGCAGAUGACUGGGGUGAAGUCGUAACAAGGUAGCCGUAGGAGAACCUGCGGCUGGAUCACCUCCUUUCUAAGGAA